GUAGGAUAUGGUGACAUUUAUCCUAAGACUCUGUUAGGUAAAAUCGUAGGAGGACUUUGCUGUAUUGCUGGAGUGCUGGUGAUUGCUCUUCCUAUCCCAAUUAUUGUCAAUAAC
Non-coding RNA from Gallus gallus (chicken), 114 nucleotides. The record is from Rfam. Lineage: Eukaryota; Metazoa; Chordata; Aves; Galliformes; Phasianidae.